RNAcentral lists this ribosomal RNA (451 nucleotides) under uncultured bacterium. RNAcentral describes it as "bacterial SSU rRNA". It matches the Rfam family "Bacterial small subunit ribosomal RNA", at positions 28 to 492 of the family's 1533-position model. The record is from RNAcentral.
GACGAACGCUGGCGGCGCGCCUAACACAUGCAAGUCGAACGAGCGAGAGAGAGCUUGCUUUCUCGAGCGAGUGGCGAACGGGUGAGUAACGCGUGAGGAACCUGCCUCAAAGAGGGGGACAACAGUUGGAAACGACUGCUAAUACCGCAUAAGCCCACGGUGCCGCAUGGCACAGAGGGAAAAGGAGCAAUCCGCUUUGAGAUGGCCUCGCGUCCGAUUAGCUAGUUGGUGAGGUAAUGGCCCACCAAGGCGACGAUCGGUAGCCGGACUGAGAGGUUGAACGGCCACAUUGGGACUGAGACACGGCCCAGACUCCUACGGGAGGCAGCAGUGGGGAAUAUUGCACAAUGGGGGAAACCCUGAUGCAGCGACGCCGCGUGGAGGAAGAAGGUCUUCGGAUUGUAAACUCCUGUUGUUGGGGAAGAUAAUGACGGUACCCAACAAGGAAGGA